Leptopilina heterotoma is the source of this 1004-nucleotide RNA transcript. RefSeq lists it as uncharacterized. The transcript is spliced from 3 exons. NCBI's taxonomy places the organism in Eukaryota, Metazoa, Arthropoda, Insecta, Hymenoptera, Figitidae. The record is from RefSeq and is a predicted model, not a curated record.
AUAAGAGGGAAAGAGAGAGAGAGAGAGAGAGAGAAAUAGAGAAAAAGAGAGAGGAGUGGCAAUAUAUAGGAAAGGGAAUGGCGCGGGUUGGAGGAAAGGUGGCUGCGCACGAGAGAAAAAGCGAAAAAGGCGACGCUAUCUGGGGACAGUAGCGCAUCGACACGCCAUUAUGUGGCGGUUGGGACUAAUUUAUACAAGAGAAAGAGGAAGACACCGCGGUUAAGUCAAGAUUGAGUUUAAGAAGGACAGAAUGAUUACUUAAAAGAGAGGCCCCUAAUUGGAAGGUAGCCACUGUUCUUUUGAACAACAGGACAUUAUAAUUUUUUAUCUCUUGCAUUACAUCACGACAAAUGUGCAAUGUAAACGAAAAAAGAAAACUAAAAUCUAUAUAGACAUCGAAACACUUCCUAAACUAACCAGUGAGGAUAAGCGACAGUCCUAUCUUUUACACGUUCAGAAGAAGGAUGAGUUGCAUUCAUCAGUAGAAAAAUUGAAGGAUUAUUUGCAACAGAAAGAAUUGCCAUUCGAACCGAUAGUGGCAAUUGUUGGGCCCUUAUUGAAUAUCGAAUCAUUUCAUGUGAUAGUGGACGAUAUUGUGUAUACGACAAAAUAAUUUCUUGAAGCAGUUGAUUUAAAUUUUAAAGUAUUUUACGUCUUCGACCGUGAUUAUCCCCCCUUGUCGAAGAUUUAUGGAAGUUUCUUCAAAAUGUUCUUUAUGAAAUACCUCUAAUUGGCGAGAAAAUGUCAAUGCAGCAUAAACUCUUAAGUGGAAAAAUUGAAAUGCUUUGUAAAACGUAAUCAAAUUUAAGUUUAGCUACUUUUUUCUUCAAUUUCAGAGUUACAGACAAUAUUCAAUUUGUUGUAAUUUUUUUUGUUCUUCUAAUUUGACUCUAAUAAGACUUCUCAAAAAUGUUUGUUUAUUCCACAAUUUAUGUAAUUUUUAUAUAAAAAUUCAUGUAUUUAAUUCAUUUAAUUAUAGUAAAUUUGUUUAUAUUUGGAACAAA